RNAcentral lists this ribosomal RNA (195 nucleotides) under Bifidobacterium sp. 216. RNAcentral describes it as "partial 16S ribosomal RNA". It matches the Rfam family "Bacterial small subunit ribosomal RNA", at positions 210 to 404 of the family's 1533-position model. Lineage: Bacteria; Bacillati; Actinomycetota; Actinomycetes; Bifidobacteriales; Bifidobacteriaceae. The record is from RNAcentral.
CUUUCGGGGUAUGGGAUGGGGUCGCGUCCUAUCAGCUUGACGGCGGGGUAACGGCCCACCGUGGCUUCGACGGGUAGCCGGCCUGAGAGGGCGACCGGCCACAUUGGGACUGAGAUACGGCCCAGACUCCUACGGGAGGCAGCAGUGGGGAAUAUUGCACAAUGGGCGCAAGCCUGAUGCAGCGACGCCGCGUAG